GACGAACGCUGGCGGCGUGCUUAACACAUGCAAGUCGAACGGAAAGGCCCCUUUGGGGGUCCUUGAGUGGCGAACGGGUGAGUAACACGUGAGUAACCUGCCCUUGACUUCGGGAUAACUUCAGGAAACUGGGGCUAAUACCGGAUAGGAAUCCUUGCUGCAUGGUGGGGGUUGGAAAGCUUCGGCGGUUUUGGAUGGGCUCGCGGCUUAUCAGCUUGUUGGUGGGGUAGUGGCUUACCAAGGCUUUGACGGGUAGCCGGCCUGAGAGGGCGACCGGCCACAUUGGGACUGAGAUACGGCCCAGACUCCUACGGGAGGCAGCAGUGGGGAAUAUUGCACAAUGGGCGGAAGCCUGAUGCAGCAACGCCGCGUGCGGGAUGACGGCCUUCGGGUUGUAAACCGCUUUCAGCAGGGGCGAAGCUUGUGGUGACGGUACCUGCAGAAGAAGCACCGGCUAACUACGUG
This 465-nucleotide ribosomal RNA is filed under the name uncultured bacterium. Its description in RNAcentral is "partial 16S ribosomal RNA". It matches the Rfam family "Bacterial small subunit ribosomal RNA", at positions 28 to 507 of the family's 1533-position model. The record is from RNAcentral.